Molecule: unclassified non-coding RNA, 258 nt
Filed under: Hevea brasiliensis (rubber tree)
Lineage: Eukaryota; Viridiplantae; Streptophyta; Magnoliopsida; Malpighiales; Euphorbiaceae
Source: RNAcentral
GCCACAUCUGCAUUUGUAUAGCCUUCUAUUUUUAGGUGGCCAUAUUUAGAAACAAUUCUUUUUCUAGAGCAGAUAUUAGGUAUCUCAAAGUUCGAAGGACAACAUCUAAAUGUGAAUCUCGAGGAUUAUACAUAAAUUGACUAAAUACAUAUACAACAUGGACUAUAUUUUGGUCUAGUCUAAGAAAGGUAAAUCAACUUUGGUCUAGUCUAAGAAAGGUAAAUCAACUUUGGUCUAGUCUAAGAAAGGUAAAUCAAC